Molecule: ribosomal RNA, 482 nt
Filed under: uncultured bacterium
Lineage: Bacteria
Description: partial 16S ribosomal RNA
Rfam family: Bacterial small subunit ribosomal RNA
Source: RNAcentral
AUUGAACGCUGGCGGCAUGCUUUACACAUGCAAGUCGAACGGUAACAGCACUUCGGUGGCUGACGAGUGGCGAACGGGUGAGUAAUACAUCGGAACGUGCCUAGUAGUGGGGGAUAACUACUCGAAAGAGUAGCUAAUACCGCAUGAGAUCUAAGGAUGAAAGCAGGGGACCUUCGGGCCUUGCGCUACUAGAGCGGCUGAUGGCAGAUUAGGUAGUUGGUGGGAUAAAAGCUUACCAAGCCGACGAUCUGUAGCUGGUCUGAGAGGACGACCAGCCACACUGGGACUGAGACACGGCCCAGACUCCUACGGGAGGCAGCAGUGGGGAAUUUUGGACAAUGGGCGCAAGCCUGAUCCAGCAAUGCCGCGUGCAGGAUGAAGGCCUUCGGGUUGUAAACUGCUUUUGUACGGAACGAAAAGCCCUCUUCUAAUACAGGAGGGUCAUGACGGUACCGUAAGAAUAAGCACCGGCUAACUAUGUG